UUUGCGACUUGUUUACGGAUGCGUAUAUAUGAAGUUCGUGUCUGUAACCAGGUUGCAAGU
Molecule: microRNA precursor, 60 nt
Filed under: Panagrellus redivivus
Lineage: Eukaryota; Metazoa; Nematoda; Chromadorea; Rhabditida; Panagrolaimidae
Description: microRNA prd-mir-7869 precursor
Source: miRBase by way of RNAcentral